GACGAACGCUGGCGGCGUGCUUAACACAUGCAAGUCGAACGGAAAGGCCCUGCUUUUGUGGGGUGCUCGAGUGGCGAACGGGGGAGUAACACGUGAGUAACCUGCCCUUGACUUUGGGAUAACUUCAGGAAACUGGGGCUAAUACCGGAUAGGAGCUCCUGCUGCAUGGUGGGGGUUGGAAAGUUUCGGCGGUUGUGGAUGGUCUCGCGGCUUAUCAGCUGGUUGGUGAGGUAGUGGCUUACCAAGGGUUUGACGGCUAGCCGGCCUGGGAGGGUUACCGGCCACCAGGGGACUGAGGUAGGGCCCAGAAUCCUAUGGGAGGCAGUAGUGGGAAAUAUGACACAAUGGGCGGAAGCCUGAUGCAGAAACGCCGCGUGCGGAAUGACGUCUUUCGGGUUGUAAACCGAUUUCGCCUGUGCCGAAGAGUGAGUGACGGUACUGAGUCAAGAAGCAACGGCUAACUACGUG
RNAcentral lists this ribosomal RNA (468 nucleotides) under uncultured bacterium. Its description in RNAcentral is "partial 16S ribosomal RNA". It matches the Rfam family "Bacterial small subunit ribosomal RNA", at positions 28 to 507 of the family's 1533-position model. The record is from RNAcentral.